Molecule: long non-coding RNA, 224 nt
Filed under: Lathyrus oleraceus (garden pea)
Lineage: Eukaryota; Viridiplantae; Streptophyta; Magnoliopsida; Fabales; Fabaceae
Description: Pisum sativum (pea) long non-coding RNA (PSAT_LNC015960)
Source: RNAcentral
CUCUAAAUCUAGGGUUAGUGUGUUUGUCUAAGGGAAGUUGGCCUAUGCUAUUUAUUCUUGCUUAAUUUAUUUAUUUACAAGGGAAUAUGUUAGUUUUAGGGGAAACUGCUUGAUUAAACAGAAAGAUAAAGAAAAAGUUUUUUUUCUCAUAUGGUAGUUCAUAUCUCAAGUCCAAUCUUGAUUUGGCACCCUUAAACCAUAGUCUAGUUUUCAUUGGUAUAAAU